GCUGUCCUUCAAUGAGGGUUUCGGGGGGAUGGAGACUCUGACAGAGAGCGGAAGAAAGAAAGAGAGAGAGAGAGAGAGAGAGAGAGAUGACGAUGGAAAGAGAGCGAAGGGGAAAGGUAUGAGUCAUGGAUUUCAGAAGUGGGGAUACGGAUUAUCCGGAUCUACCGCUGCAUGCCUGGAUUUCGAAAGAUAAGUGCUUUUAAAAUUUUUUUUUUUUUCUAUCAGCUUAGAUCUGCCUUUUUGUUGUGGAUUAUUUUCGAAUUUUUUAGUGUGUUAGGUCAGAUUUUGGGGGAAUCAUCAGAGAUAUUUAUUUCCCUUAUUAGUUUUCUUUUCUCUCAUUUUGCACAUUGAUCUCUCUGUCUGCCUGUUUGUUCUCUGUCUUAAGGUCCGUAAUUUUUUUUUUUUUUUUUUGGGGUUUUUUGUAUGGCUUUUUUUUUUUCUUUUUGUUUUCCAGGUUAUAGAUCUAAUGCUCUUUUGUAUACCAAUCUUGGUUUAGUUUUCUUUUCUCUCAUUUUGCACAUUCAUCUCUCUGUCUGCGUGUUUGUUCUCUGUGUAUGCAGUUAAAUGACGAUGUUGUAUUUCAUAUGCAAGAAAUGAUUUCAUCAAGUAUGUUGUAUCUACUGUAUAUGCAAAAGAGAUUGCUAGCUAAUCUUAUUCUUAUUAACUCUUCCCUUUUACCUUUCGAUUUCUGUUACGAUGCAGGCUAUUGAAUUUGGAGAAAGUUUGCAUGCAAACUCUAUUUUGCAUAAUGUUCUUCAGUGAGCCUUUGAAGUUUGCCUUGGAAGUGUCUUUAUAUUCUCAUUCACUUUGUUUUAUUGUUAGGAAAUUCUGGGUGGAAAGAAUAAUACUCAAUCAAAAUUACAUUUGAUCUACAAGUGGUUGGACUGACAUUUUUCUUAUACAAUGAAGGCGUGAAAUAUGUGGACAAUUACAAUUUUUGUUUUCAUGUCAAACCAACUUGCUUCACAUAUAUUAUGCCAUUGUUGACAUGUAUUCUUCCGUUGUUUUCAACAGUGCUUUUAUGUUGCACCAGGAAAAUUCUAUUUGAGGAUGGGAACCACCUGUAUCGGUUCUUGGAUGAUGAUCCAAUUGUAUCUCAUUCAUGGUUUGGACAGUUAUCAGAAUAGGAAGGGAUAACUGAAUUGAUUUCAUGGAUUAAAGUAGGUUGGGUUAAUUAUGCUUUAGCAGAUGCUUUCUUUGACUUAAUGUCAAUUAAUUGACAUUUAUCAUAGGCUCGAUGUGCAAGAAUCUUCUUUUUAUUUUUUCAAUUGAUGCUUUAGCAGUUUCUAUUAUCUACUUUUUGGGGUAUAAAUCAUGUCUAUAAUUUCAAAAUACAUGUUCUUCAUGACAAUCUAUGGUAUUUAUAAAAUAAUUCAGGUUAGAGUAAUUUUUUUUUCCUUUCCCUUCACUGCACUGCAGUCCCGGUGAAAAGCACUUGCAGACUUGCAGAGGCACUAUGCACCUUGAGAAGCAGAGCGAUAUGUAGUGCCAACCUGAGUCACAGUUGAAGUUUAUUACAGAGGCCUGACUACAGUUGAAUAUGGGCGAGUACUAACAUGGACAUAUGCUAAUUGAUAUUAUUUGCCGGAGCAUGAACAUGCCAAGUUCUGAGUACUUGCAAGGUGAAGUUGAGUCUGGGUUGGAACGGCUUCAUCAAUGUGCAGAAAAUGAGAUCCAAGUUUACCUCAAUGAUAAGGAAUUUCAAUGAGUUUCGCACAAAACUUGCUGGAUAGACCAGGUUAUGUUCUACUAAAGAUAUUACGCUACUUUUCUGAUUGGAUAAGUUGACUCGGGUUACAGUGAUAUAGCUUUUCAGUUUAUUAAUGCUAACAUGUUAGUUUUGCUAAGUGGGAAUGCCAUAAUAUAAAUUUUAUAGAAAUGAUGAAUGGGCCAAUCUGAAGUAACAAAUUUCAGCUGAUGAAUGAACUCUUAUAUGACUGCCACUGCAUAUACUCAUCUUUUAUUUUGUUGGGUUUUAUUUUUUUAUUUUUAUUUUUUUUUUGGUAAAAUGCAAUGUUGGUUUCGCGAAGAACUGACCUCUAUCUUAUCUAUAGCUCUAUACGCAUGUAGUUUUUCUCUUUUUUGGUCUCGAGUAUUUGGUUGAUUUUAUUUAACAAUCUUUUGGAAUAUAGAGAAUUUUUGCACCAAUGUCUUAUUUCUGGAUUUCCUGAUGAUUUAGCAUUGAGAUGUUGGGCAAAGGUGUCUCAUGGGAACCACAGAUUACUCGAAACUAUCUCAAAGAAGUGGAGAGAUUUCUUAUUAGCUCAGACCAUGCCAACUAUGAAGCUAUAGAAAAAUGGUGCGGAAAUUGGCUGUUUGUUAUUGACGAGAUAUAAUCCAAUAGCUAAUAAGUAUGCUCCUAUAUUCGACACUUAAAAUAUGUCUAGAACUGAUGUUACUAUUACAGUAUUACUACUUUCAUUUUUACCGAAGAAAAGGUUUUUCAUUCUUUA
Pyrus x bretschneideri (Chinese white pear) is the source of this 2453-nucleotide long non-coding RNA. RefSeq lists it as uncharacterized. The transcript has 4 exons. Lineage: Eukaryota; Viridiplantae; Streptophyta; Magnoliopsida; Rosales; Rosaceae. The record is from RefSeq and is a predicted model, not a curated record.